AAUUAACCCUCACUAAAGAGAGUUUGAUCCUGGCUCAGGACGAACGCUGGCGGCGUGCUUAACACAUGCAAGUCGAACGAGGUUCAGCCGACCCUUCGGGGAGAGCGAAGACCUAGUGGCGAGCGGGUGCGUAACACGUGAGGWACCUGCCCCGGACUUGGGAAUAACAGUCGGAAACGGCUGCUAAUACCGAAUAUCUCCGUAGCGUCGCAUGGCGCAUCGAAGAAAGCUUUUGCGGUCUGGGAGGGCCUCGCGGCCUAUCAGCUAGUUGGCGAGGUAAUGGCUCACCAAGGCAUCGACGGGUAGCUGGUCUGAGAGGAUGAUCAGCCACACUGGGACUGAGACACGGCCCAGACUCCUACGGGAGGCAGCAGUGGGGAAUAUUGCACAAUGGGCGAAAGCUGAUGCAGCAACGGCGCGUGCGGGAAGAAGGCCUUAGGGUUGUAAACCGCUUUCAGCAGGGAAGUAACUGACGGUACCUGCAGAAGAAGGUGCGGCCAACUACGUGCCAGCAGCCGCGGUGACACGUAGGCACCAAGCGUUGUCCGGAUUUAUUGGGCGUAAAGAGCUCGUAGGCGGUUCAGUAAGUCGGGUGUGAAAACUCUGGGCUCAACCCAGAGACGCCACCCGAUACUGCUGUGACUUGAGUACGGUAGGGGAGUGGGGAAUUCUGGUGUAGCGGUGAAAUGCGCAGAUAUCAGGAGGAACACCAGUGGCGAAGGCGSCACUCUGGGCCGUAACUKACGCUGAGGAGCGAAAGKGGGGGUAGCAAACAGGAU
Molecule: ribosomal RNA, 779 nt
Filed under: uncultured bacterium
Lineage: Bacteria
Description: partial 16S ribosomal RNA
Rfam family: Bacterial small subunit ribosomal RNA
Source: RNAcentral